RNAcentral lists this ribosomal RNA (1448 nucleotides) under uncultured organism. RNAcentral's name for it is "SSU rRNA". It matches the Rfam family "Bacterial small subunit ribosomal RNA". The record is from RNAcentral.
AACGCUAGCUACAGGCUUAACACAUGCAAGUCGAGGGGCAGCAUUUAGUUUGCUUGCAAACUAAAGAUGGCGACCGGCGCACGGGUGAGUAACACGUAUCCAACCUGCCGAUAACUCGGGGAUAGCCUUUCGAAAGAAAGAUUAAUAUCCGAUGGUAUAUUAAAACCGCAUGGUUUUACUAUUAAAGAAUUUCGGUUAUCGAUGGGGAUGCGUUCCAUUAGUUUGUUGGCGGGGUAACGGCCCACCAAGACUACGAUGGAUAGGGGUUCUGAGAGGAAGGUCCCCCACAUUGGAACUGAGACACGGUCCAAACUCCUACGGGAGGCAGCAGUGAGGAAUAUUGGUCAAUGGACGAGAGUCUGAACCAGCCAAGUAGCGUGAAGGAUGACUGCCCUAUGGGUUGUAAACUUCUUUUAUAUGGGAAUAAAGUAUUCCACGUUUGGGAUUUUGUAUGUACCAUAUGAAUAAGGAUCGGCUAACUCCGUGCCAGCAGCCGCGGUAAUACGGAGGAUCCGAGCGUUAUCCGGAUUUAUUGGGUUUAAAGGGAGCGUAGGUGGAUUGUUAAGUCAGUUGUGAAAGUUUGCGGCUCAACCGUAAAAUUGCAGUUGAAACUGGCAGUCUUGAGUACAGUAGAGGUGGGCGGAAUUCGUGGUGUAGCGGUGAAAUGCUUAGAUAUCACGAAGAACUCCGAUUGCGAAGGCAGCUCACUAGACUGCAACUGACACUGAUGCUCGAAAGUGUGGGUAUCAAACAGGAUUAGAUACCCUGGUAGUCCACACAGUAAACGAUGAAUACUCGCUGUUUGCGAUAUACAGUAAGCGGCCAAGCGAAAGCAUUAAGUAUUCCACCUGGGGAGUACGCCGGCAACGGUGAAACUCAAAGGAAUUGACGGGGGCCCGCACAAGCGGAGGAACAUGUGGUUUAAUUCGAUGAUACGCGAGGAACCUUACCCGGGCUUAAAUUGCAUUUGAAUAAUCUGGAAACAGGUUAGCCGCAAGGCAAAUGUGAAGGUGCUGCAUGGUUGUCGUCAGCUCGUGCCGUGAGGUGUCGGCUUAAGUGCCAUAACGAGCGCAACCCUUAUCUUUAGUUACUAACAGGUCAUGCUGAGGACUCUAGAGAGACUGCCGUCGUAAGAUGUGAGGAAGGUGGGGAUGACGUCAAAUCAGCACGGCCCUUACGUCCGGGGCUACACACGUGUUACAAUGGGGGGUACAGAAGGCAGCUACCUGGCGACAGGAUGCUAAUCCCAAAAACCUCUCUCAGUUCGGAUCGAAGUCUGCAACCCGACUUCGUGAAGCUGGAUUCGCUAGUAAUCGCGCAUCAGCCAUGGCGCGGUGAAUACGUUCCCGGGCCUUGUACACACCGCCCGUCAAGCCAUGAAAGCCGGGGGUACCUGAAGUACGUAACCGCAAGGAGCGUCCUAGGGUAAAACUGGUAAUUGGGGCUAA